RNAcentral lists this long non-coding RNA (1524 nucleotides) under Oreochromis niloticus (Nile tilapia). Its description in RNAcentral is "lncRNA (ENSONIG00000030008.1)". Lineage: Eukaryota; Metazoa; Chordata; Actinopteri; Cichliformes; Cichlidae. The record is from RNAcentral.
CCCACUGUUGGUCAUGUGAGUUAUCACGUUGAACCAAGGUGUGAAAAAAAGGCACAAGUCUUUACCGUCACAGUGAGAUCUUGUCCUAACCCAUCAUGUGACCUGUCAAGGUCACCAAAAGCAAGGUGUGAGUGGGGGUUGAAGCGCUUGGGAAAGGACCUCAAGACUGUAUCAAGACUUCACUCUGUAUCAUAUUGUGCUCCUGAUCUUCUCAUUGAUGGAGGAGAUCGUCUGCAUGCGGGAAACAGGGAUCUCAGUGGACCAGAGCGAAGAGUGCACAUCAGACAAGAUCAGUGCAUCCAAGAUAGAACAAAGGCGAGGGAGCUGAGUGGCCUGUACGUGACAUGUAGUGAAGCUCUUCACAGAGAGCCUUGCUCGGUGCCUCUGAGAAACACCUGGCAUAUCAAAGCGCCAAAGGGAAACGAGUUUCAAAGGAGCAGGGCUGCCAGAGACUGUUUUGUGCCCAGGCCUCCACGGAGAUGUGUUUUCUGAGUUAUUAGAUGCCAUUAUACAGCAUGCAUGUGGAGAAUAACACCACUGAAUGAGUAAGUGUUGAAAUAACCCGCAACGUAAACGGCAACUGUUUUGUUUGCUGUGUUCCAAAGCUGCAGCGAAAUCAUAAUGAAGGAGCUACAUCUAAUAUUCAAUUAUAUAUGUGCCAAAGCCUUGUGUAUAAGUGUUAACAGUGUUCACACUUUUUAUGAGUCAAUUAUGAGACCACAGCGAAGAUGGAGUGACUUUGCUGGCAGCGACCGUAGCUGGACUGCAGAGAGAGGAAGAUAGAGUAGCUGGCUGCUGAAAGGUAAGUCAUAACGUUGGUGUCCUGCCAGGGUAGGAGUGGGCACUGGACAAAGAAAGAAUCUUUUCUUCUCUAAAAAUACAAAUACAUUUAAACACAGUUCACUUUUGCACAUUUAUAAUCACCGUCACCGAGACUGGAAUGGCUCUACCUCCAUAACCCUCCAUUCAGUCUGCUUUUGGGCUGAAGCUUUUAUCCACGACAGCUUCAUAAUUUAUUUCAGAUCAUUUGAAAAUCCUCCUCUUGCCAGAUUCAGAAGCAUCCACAGUCUUUUCCUUUAGGCCUGAGGAAGCUCUUUAGAUCAUGACGUGAUGAUGCCAAUCUCUUGCAAAAAAAAAAACAAAAACAGCAGACGUUACAUGUUAUAUCUGAGGUGUCAAACAUGUACAACCCACAGGCCAAAAGCAGCAAGCUCAAGACUCAAAUCCAGCCCACUGAAGUGGAAGGUGUAAAAACUGAAGAGAAGGACUGGCAAGUGAAUUGUGUCAAGAAACAUGGUUUUCCCACAUACUAAUUUAAUCCUAGCCUGAGGUCCAAAUCAUUGUGAGUUUUACGUCGCUCUGGCAACUAACCCAAACUCUCUGAUUCUAAUUUUAGGGAUGUAAAUCUGUGUGUGUACUUACAUUUCCACUGUGACUUUUCUGUUGCUUUUAAUAUAUUUAAAUUAUGAAAACAAAUGUCUUUUGUACUUGAAGUAUGUUCUUUAAGUAUGUUAUAUUAAAAAC